AGGAUUAACGCUGGCGGCGUGCAUGAAACAUGCAAGUCGAGCGCGGUGUGAUGAGGGGUAACCCAAUUCACAUCUAGCGGCGAACGGGUGAGUAACACGUGAGCAACCUACCUUUGAGUUGGGGGAUAGCCCUGGGAAACCAGGAUUAAUACCCGAUGUGGUCACAACAGGACAUCCUGAUGUGAGUAAAGGCGCAAGCCGCUCAAUGACGGGCUCGCGGCCUAUUAGCUUGUUGGUGGGGUAACGGCCUACCAAGGCGAUGAUGGGUAGCUGGUCUGAGAGGACGAUCAGCCACACUGGGACUGAGACACGGGCCCAGACUCCUACGGGAGGCAGCAGUUAGGAAUUUUCCGCAAUGGGCGAAAGCCUGACGGAGCAACGCCGCGUGAGUGAUGAAGACCUUCGGGUUGUAAAGCUCUGUCGGAGGGGAAGAACACAAUGACGGUACCUCCAAGAAAGCCCGGCUAACUACGUGCCAGCAGCCGCGGUAA
This 491-nucleotide ribosomal RNA is filed under the name uncultured bacterium. RNAcentral describes it as "SSU rRNA". It matches the Rfam family "Bacterial small subunit ribosomal RNA", at positions 26 to 523 of the family's 1533-position model. The record is from RNAcentral.